UUAUGUAAUGGGUCAGCCCGCUGUGACCCGAGCUAGCUCGCUCCGGACGGCCCGACCCUCCCCGGAACAGCCGUGCGUGCCCCUGACCUAGGCAAGCAGAGGGCCCGGUGUUCUCAAAAAGAACUUUCCCCGGGAGGGCCAAAGAGCAGGCUGUGGAGAAGGAAUCCAAGGCCUCCUUUAGGUGUAUCUGCAGCCCGUCCCAUUUCACAGCACAGAAAACCGAGGCCCCAAAGUGUUCGUUUAAAAAGCUGUUCCUUGGAGUUAGACAGGCCUGGAUUCAACUCUUCUGAAAAGCUCAGUGACCUUAGACAAGUGACUUGAAUCUCCGAGCCUCAGUUUCUUCACCUCUAAAAGAAUGAUAGUGCGCACUUCCUGUGGUUGCGGAAAUGGAGGCGCAGAAGCCCGGCGUACGUAACAAGCCCAGUGAAAGUUACUGCUGUUGAUUGUGCUGAAGUUCGCCCAAGCCCCCAAACGUCGCCUUGAGAUCGCCUGUCUCACGGGCUUGAGGAAGGAGCUGCCGAGAGGUACCUCAGAUAAGGCAGGUGCCAGGCUAACCUUCCUAGUGUUCAGAUGUAGUUUGGCUGACUCUAUCACAGGCAGAGUGCUGUUCAUCUCUUGCGAGCGCAAUUGCAUCCUAGAAAACCUAGAGUUGCAUUACAACAGCAUGGUCAUCCUGUGAGUGCCUGUUUGAUGAUGAUAUAAGGGCAAUUACAUUUAAAGCAAAGUUCCAAAGAAGCACACCCUCCUUUGUGAAGAUGUCAGAUUUAGCAGCACACCUAGAGGAUAAGCAUUCAGGGAGCUGCGUGUUGACGUCGGCCUGAACCACGGGACUGCCGUCACCAACACCGAAGUGUGCAUCAGCAGCAGGAGCCGUGCAGCCGCCGGG
Vicugna pacos (alpaca) is the source of this 886-nucleotide non-coding RNA. The record is from RefSeq and is a predicted model, not a curated record. NCBI's taxonomy places the organism in Eukaryota, Metazoa, Chordata, Mammalia, Artiodactyla, Camelidae.